UAGGGAAUCUUCCGCAAUGGACGCAAGUCUGACGGAGCAACGCCGCGUGAGUGAAGAAGGAUUUCGGUUCGUAAAACUCUGUUGUUAGAGAAGAACAGCGCAUAGAGUAACUGUUAUGCGUGUGACGGUAUCUAACCAGAAAGCCACGGCUAACUACGUGCCAGCAGCCGCGGUAAUACGUAGGUGGCAAGCGUUGUCCGGACUUAUUGGGCGUAAAGCGAGCGCAGGCGGUCAAUUAAGUCUGAUGUGAAAGCCCCCGGCUCAACCGGGGAGGGUCAUUGGAAACUGGUUGACUUGAGUGCAGAAGAGGAGAGUGGAAUUCCAUGUGUAGCGGUGAAAUGCGUAGAUAUAUGGAGGAACACCAGUGGCGAAGGCGACUCUCUGGUCUGUAACUGACGCUGAGGCUCGAAAGCGUGGGUAGCAAACAGG
RNAcentral lists this ribosomal RNA (429 nucleotides) under Bacteroidota bacterium. RNAcentral's name for it is "Bacteroidetes bacterium partial 16S ribosomal RNA". It matches the Rfam family "Bacterial small subunit ribosomal RNA", at positions 355 to 776 of the family's 1533-position model. Lineage: Bacteria; Pseudomonadati; Bacteroidota. The record is from RNAcentral.